RNAcentral lists this ribosomal RNA (301 nucleotides) under uncultured bacterium. RNAcentral describes it as "partial 16S ribosomal RNA". It matches the Rfam family "Bacterial small subunit ribosomal RNA", at positions 509 to 807 of the family's 1533-position model. The record is from RNAcentral.
CAGCCGCCGCGGGAAUACGGAGGGAGCUAGCGUUGUUCGGAAUUACUGGGCGUAAAGCGCGCGUAGGCGGUUAUUUAAGUCAGGGGUGAAAGCCCGGUGCUCAACACCGGAACAGCCCUUGAGACUGGAUAACUUGAAUCCAGGAGAGGUGAGUGGAAUUCCGAGUGUAGAGGUGAAAUUCGUAGAUAUUCGGAAGAACACCAGUGGCGAAGGCGGCUCACUGGACUGGUAUUGACGCUGAGGUGCGAAAGCGUGGGGAGCAAUCAGGAUUAGAUACCCGUGUAGUCCCUGUCUCUUAUAC